CACCGGCUACUCCGUGCCAGCAGCCGCGGUAAUACGGAGGGUGCGAGCGUUAAUCGGAAUUACUGGGCGUAAAGCGCGCGUAGGUGGCUUGAUAAGCCGGUUGUGAAAGCCCCGGGCUCAACCUGGGAACGGCAUCCGGAACUGUCAGGCUAGAGUGCAGGAGAGGAAGGUAGAAUUCCCGGUGUAGCGGUGAAAUGCGUAGAGAUCGGGAGGAAUACCAGUGGCGAAGGCGGCCUUCUGGACUGACACUGACACUGAGGUGCGAAAGCGUGGGUAGCAAACAGGAUUAGAUACCCUGGUAGUCCACGCCGUAAACGAUGUCGACUAGCCGUUGGGUUCCUUGAGAACUUUGUGGCGCAGUUAACGCGAUAAGUCGACCGCCUGGGGAGUACGGCCGCAAGGUUAAAACUCAAAUGAAUUGACGGGGGCCCGCACAAGCGGUGGAGCAUGUGGUUUAAUUCGAUGCAACGCGAAGAACCUUACCUACCCUUGACAUCGUGCGAACUUGGUAGAGAUACCUUGGUGCCUUCGGGAGCGCACAGACAGGUGCUGCAUGGCUGUCGUCAGCUCGUGUUGUGAAAUGUUGGGUUAAGUCCCGUAACGAGCGCAACCCUUGUCCCUAUUUGCCAGCGAUUCGGUCGGGAACUCUAGGGAGACUGCCGGUGACAAACCGGAGGAAGGUGGGGACGACGUCAAGUCAUCAUGGCCCUUACGGGUAGGGCUACACACGUGCUACAAUGGUCGGUACAAAGGGUUGCAAUGCCGCGAGGUGGAGCUAAUCCCAUAAAGCCGAUCUCAGUCCGGAUCGGAGUCUGCAACUCGACUCCGUGAAGUCGGAAUCGCUAGUAAUCGUGAAUCAGAAUGUCACGGUGAAUACGUUCCCGGGCCUUGUACACACCGCCCGUCACACCAUGGGAGUGGACUGCACCAGAAGUGGUUAGCUUAACCUUCGGGGGAGCGAUCACCACGGUGUGGUUCAUGACUGGGGGAAGUCGAGCA
Molecule: ribosomal RNA, 999 nt
Filed under: Halomonas sp. A55
Lineage: Bacteria; Pseudomonadati; Pseudomonadota; Gammaproteobacteria; Oceanospirillales; Halomonadaceae
Description: bacterial SSU rRNA
Rfam family: Bacterial small subunit ribosomal RNA
Source: RNAcentral